Molecule: ribosomal RNA, 237 nt
Filed under: Glomeromycotina sp.
Lineage: Eukaryota; Fungi; Glomeromycota
Description: partial small subunit ribosomal RNA
Rfam family: Eukaryotic small subunit ribosomal RNA (bases 40-237)
Source: RNAcentral
GGGUCAGUAGGUUGGUCGUGCCACCGGUACGUACUGGUCUCACUGAUUCCUCCUUCCUGAAGAACCGUAAUGCCAUUAAUUUGGUGUUGCGGGGAAACAGGACUGUUACUUUGAAAAAAUUAGAGUGUUUAAAGCAAGCUAACGCUUGAAUGCAUUAGCAUGGAAUAAUGAAAUAGGACGAUCGAUCCUAUUUUGUUGGUUUCUAGGAUUGACGUAAUGAUUAAUCGGGAUAUUGGG